UCAGAGAUAUUCAUUCAUAUGCUUUCUGCUACUUGCCACAGGAGCAGACUUUAGGUUAUUAUGUUACCAUAAUAUCUGAUUUUCCCCCCUUCUUUCCUCUAUUCUAUUCCACCGGCCAUCCUUUUUUUCUUUCUUCUUUUUUCCAUGUAGUAUUGCAUGGACUCAGUUUAUUUGAUGGAAUCAGGUCAUAUUCAAUUUGGUUUUCGAAGAAAAUCCCGUUAAAUCUUGAAUCUUUCUCCCUUGAACAAUUGAAUAUCUUUUGUUUUCAAAGAUUCUGGGGAAGACAAGCUACCAUAUCUUCAUUUUAUGGAAUCUCGUUUGAGUCAAAGCUGUUUGGCAAAAGUAGGCAUAAAAACUCAAGUUGAGCCAGCCACCUUAUCCAUUUAUCUUCUUGUUAUUUCUGUAAUUUCUUAUCGAUCCCUAUGGUAAUCUCUGAUCGAUGUGGGUAAACAUAUCUUCAAAUUUUCAGUUCAAAGACAAGAAGGAUGGGGGUGACGAUGACUCCAAUGGAAGCAAUCCAAACAGCGCUUCUAGAGGGAACUGGUGGCAGGGUUCCCUCUAUUACUAACACCCUGCCCCUGCCAUCUAAUCGACCCAUCGCCUAGCAAAGGGGGGUGGUGAUCAUAGUAUGAUCGAGCUUAAUAUUUUGGAAAUAAGAUGGUAAUGAAAUGAGUUGCUUAACACUGUCAGGACUUGCAAAAACGUGUUGGGUUGUUUUUGUCCUAACUGGUCAAUUUUGGCAAGUCUUACGCGAGCUCUCGAUAUGGUUUUAAGAGCUUGAUGCAGUCCUUCUAGGCACAUGAAGUGAUCUUGUAUGAGUAACCUAGCCAGUGCUCCAUGUACUUAAAUUUUAUCUCUGGAUUUAGUAAUUAAUAUAUCGAUCACUCGAUUGAUCUUGUUGUAACUCAA
Molecule: long non-coding RNA, 909 nt
Organism: Juglans regia (Persian walnut)
Lineage: Eukaryota; Viridiplantae; Streptophyta; Magnoliopsida; Fagales; Juglandaceae
Exons: 3
Source: RefSeq, a predicted model, not a curated record